CUUUUUUUUCUUUUAGACACAUCCCAACCCAAAGUAUAAGCGCCCACCUAGUCUUAUCUAGUCCGGAUAACACGAACUAGAACUACAUGAGACACUAUCUCUGUCGUUACGAACCUAUCACUUUCUACCAAGCUUAAUCGGAAUAAGACCUCACAAACACUCACAAGUGAUAUAGGGCUUGAAAGAAAGUUUAGGUUUGGGUUUGGGUCAACUGCUCUAAUAAGGAGAGUCAGCUACUUGGAUUAACAAGAGUGAUUAAAAUGAGUAAGAAAAUCCAAGUAUUUUAGGGUAUCCAUGAGUUCAAAUUUGAUGUAGACAUGAUAAUUGAAAAUCAGACAGUGAGGUCGAGUAGAGCAAUCUAGGCAUGGUUCAGUUUUACUUCAAUUUCAUUGACUACGCAACAGACAACUAGCAACGAGGGCACUGAGUUUAUCUGGUGAACCAAAAUGCUUACAAGGCUAUCUCAUCAUUAUCCCCUAUGCAUAUGCAACAAUCCUAAAUGAAACACUGUAGACUCGAUCCUAAAUGUAAUGCAGCUAUAUGAACACUCUGUUUUUGUGAAAUCAUUUUCUGAAAUUUUUUCAAAUUUUUUUGGUUUUUCUAUACCUUAGAUAAAUGCAGACUCAAAAGUAUAUACAAUGCAACAAACACUUCUUGAGCCCUCCCCCAAACUUAAAUCACACAGUGGACUGUGUGACUAAACUUGGAAGAGAGUACUCAGGACAAAUCCAAUCACAGAAACAAAACAAAGAACAAAUCACAAGAGAUGAUAUAAUACAAUGGUGAAGUGAGGCGCUUACCUCAGUCGAAGAAUGAACAGAGUUGGUCGUGAAUGGAUGCCUGUAAUUGCUUCCAGGCCAUAGACGAGUCGCCCUGUUCUGUAUCAGCUAUAGCAUGUGGGUACUCGACCUCAUCAGCUCUGUGGCGGCCAACACCGCUCUAAGGAUACUCGACCACUUUUCUUCUGCUGCGGCCAGCACCGCAGUCGAGUCAUCUCCUCGAGUGAAUAAGGCGUGAUCUACUGCUAAAGCGAACGAAUGUAGCCUUUUUUCUCCUCUUGUGUUCCCUGUACUCGAAUGACGAAUGUCUAGCAGGGACAUGUGAGACUCUCUACUCACUAAGCUCAGGCCUGUGCUGACUUGGCUAAGGCUCAUCAAAUCUCCUCGAUGGCAUGUCCCGAGGAGGUUGUCCCUGUGGGAUAGCUGUUGUGGAAGAGGAGCAGCUCAGCUUAUCUGUCAGAAACUUGAUAGUCUUGAAGCACUUGGCGAGUAACUUAUCAUGUUUCUUGCACCACUUCUGCAGCUUGCUGUUGUUCAUGUGAGCUUCACUCAAACUCUUGCUCUCCCUUGUCGGAGGUACAUGCUCACUAAAAUGAUACAUGCUAGUUUCAAACUCCACUUCUCUGUCUUCAUCCAUCCCAUCCUCCGUAGCUUCUUCUAUAAGAACAUCCUCAUCCAAUGGCUGAGCGUCCUCGUAGUAGAGGUUCCCAAGCUUAGGCUUAAAAUCAAUGUUAUCUCCCUCUAUUAUGCGUGUAACCUCAAGACUGGGAAGAAGGAUGUUGACUUUCUUAUCUGUAGAAUGCUCAAACUUGAAACGGUGCAUGUCGCCAACCAUUGCGAACUCCAGGAAUUAUCAGUGAUGUAGAUGCUCGAUAUCCAUUGCCCGUGGCUCAAGUCCAUCAGAUGUGAUUGGGACUCUACAAGCGAUCGGAAUCGGUGUCACAACACCUCCUAUGCAAAGAGCGCUUCGUGCUCUCUUGUGGUUAUUGCUAACAGCCCAUCUCUUUUAUCCACACAUGUGGAUCAGAAGAAGUACAAAGAGAGGUGUGUCAUUGGUUUCACCUUGAAGAGACAUACCAUUCUUGGUUUGGUGAAGAGUGCCUUUGAGAGCCAUAGCAAUCAUUUCCAUAUCAGAAUUGGUAACAGUCCCUGUUAUCUCUCGGGAGUAGAGAACAUUGGCUAUAGAACGCUGGAAGUACCUGAUGACCGGAGUGCGUAUCUAAUUGCUCUUGGAUCUAGAAGAAUUUAGCGGUACAGAGCUGCCAGUGGUGAUCCAUAAGUCUUUCAACUCUUGUCUGUCAUACUUGGGCUUAGUACCCGUUCCACUUGGGAAACCAAACAAUCCUUCCAAGCGUUUGAUUGAUAGCCUAUAAUCCUUACCAUACACAUAGAAUCGCAAGAAUCUCAAUCCUUCGCAUUCCAAAUCAUCAGAGGUCAUACCUUGGUAAAGCUCCACUUGUAGUGUGGAGAGGAACUGAAUCGUUUCUUCUUCAUAGGGUACAUAUGGGUAAGCCAUCAGAGUGUCCUGGUGACAACUCUGGUACAGGUGUUGAACAUCCUCCAGUAAUCCAUGUUGUGCCAGUGUGGUCGAGCACGGAUACCUUGUGCUACAGAACUCAUUCAGCUUGAAGAGCUUGAUAUACUCCUCAGCAGGCAAUAUAUCAGGUUUGUGCAGAAGUUUGGUGGCUAUGCGAGUAUGCUCAGGCAUAUACUCUUCUUCUAGAUCCUCAUCUAUCAGCUCAUACCUCUCUAUCAUUGCUCUCUUCCCUCGAGCUAUCUCAACUUUUCUCCUGAAGUUAUCAUAUUCUCUCUGUUCUCUUUCUGGCCUUGAAGACGAUUACUCCGUCUCAUCCAUGUUAUAGUCUGGAUCAAUUGAAGAACUGCCACUAUAGUUACUCAUGAUUCUUCUGCAAAAGAUUUAGAACUCAAAACUCAAAUGUCAAUAGGUUAGUUUC
This 2734-nucleotide small RNA is filed under the name Arabidopsis thaliana (thale cress). RNAcentral's name for it is "ATSL273720". The record is from RNAcentral. Lineage: Eukaryota; Viridiplantae; Streptophyta; Magnoliopsida; Brassicales; Brassicaceae.